RNAcentral lists this long non-coding RNA (360 nucleotides) under Mytilus galloprovincialis (Mediterranean mussel). Lineage: Eukaryota; Metazoa; Mollusca; Bivalvia; Mytilida; Mytilidae. The record is from RNAcentral.
CCUUUAUGGUUUUUAUCAGAGACAUAUAAUAUGUCUCUGUUUUUAUAAAUUUACCACUUUAGAUAAUUGAAUAUUAUGAUUUUUUUCUGUGUAUUCAAUUACUGCAGUUAAAUUAUUUAUUGCAUACAUGUACAUAGCGAUUUUUUCAUGUGCAUUCCAGGGUCCUACUUAAAAGCACCCGGGAGCGCCUAGGUGAAGAAAAUGCGCCCCGGGAAAAUAUAUGAAAAUUGUAUUAGCAUGAGACAACUUUGUGUCGAUGAAAUAAGUUAUGCACAUUGAUUUUUUUUAAUUUUAGACAAGUAUUUUGCAAAUUCAGAUAAUAGACAUUUGUAAUAUGAAUGUUUCAAUUUAAACAAUAAU